RNAcentral lists this ribosomal RNA (497 nucleotides) under uncultured bacterium. RNAcentral describes it as "partial 16S ribosomal RNA". It matches the Rfam family "Bacterial small subunit ribosomal RNA", at positions 28 to 507 of the family's 1533-position model. The record is from RNAcentral.
GAUGAACGCUGGCGGCGUGCCUAAUACAUGCAAGUCGAGCGAACGGACGAGAAGCUUGCUUCUCUGAUGUUAGCGGCGGACGGGUGAGUAACACGUGGAUAACCUACCUAUAAGACUGGGAUAACUUCGGGAAACCGGAGCUAAGACCGGAUAAUAUUUUGAACCGCAUGGUUCAAAAGUGAAAGACGGUCUUGCUGUCACUUAUAGAGGGAUCCGCGCUGCAUUAGCUAGUUGGUAAGGUAACGGCCUACCAAGGCAACGAUGCAUAGCCGACCUGAGCGGGUGAUCGGCCACACUAGCACUGAGACACGGUCCAGACUCCUACGGGAGGAAGCAGUAGAGAAUCUUACGCGAUGGGCGAAAGCCUGACAGAGCACCGCCGCGUGAGUGAUGAAGGUCUGCGGAUCGUAGAACUCUGUUAUUAGGCAAGAACAAAUGUGUAAGUAACUGUGAACAUCUUGACGGUACCUAAUCAGAAAGCCACGGCUAACUACGUG